CUUCUUCGUGUCUAAUUGAAACAUAAUUUUAUAUGGCGGAUAACAACAUUAAUUUAUUCAACAAACAAAAUCCAAUUACUAUUUGAAUGAGUUAACACUUUCUUCAAAAGACUUAAACAACUGUCUUAUCUAGCGUAUGGGAGACAAUUAGCUAACUAUUAGUAACCUUUUAUUAACUAAUCAGUGGAGACUAUCACUACAACAACUUUAUUAUAAAAUCCGUAAUUUGAU
RNAcentral lists this long non-coding RNA (231 nucleotides) under Mytilus galloprovincialis (Mediterranean mussel). Lineage: Eukaryota; Metazoa; Mollusca; Bivalvia; Mytilida; Mytilidae. The record is from RNAcentral.